RNAcentral lists this long non-coding RNA (4414 nucleotides) under Mytilus galloprovincialis (Mediterranean mussel). The record is from RNAcentral. Lineage: Eukaryota; Metazoa; Mollusca; Bivalvia; Mytilida; Mytilidae.
UGCAAACUAAGCUUUGGGAAUGCUAUGAAAUUCGAGGAAGGUACUUGGGUAUAUAUAAAUGCAAAAUCUUUAUUUCUACGCAGUCUGGAAAUGAAAAGUUAUCUGCAUACCAAAUUAAAGUAAGUGACUAUUUACUGUUUUAUCAUACUAGUAUAUAAAAGUAAAAUCACAAAAAAUGCAGAUCUCUGAGAAAAUUCAAAACGAAAAGUUCGUAAUCAAAAGGCAAAAUCAAAAGUUCAAACACAUCAAACGAAUGGAUAACAAUUGUCAAAUUCCUGGCAUGGUACAGGUAUUUUCUUAAGCUGGGGUCACACAUUCACGAUUUUUACUGCCGUCCUUGACAGGACCAUUCUCGAUUAAAAUUUGUCAAAAGUCUGAUCAAGAUCCUGUUAAUCGUGGAUGGAAAUUCAAACUUUAAUUAAAAUUAAAAAAAAAUAAAAUUUUAAUCACGACAACAAUCAGAUAUUGUUCAGGAAGCGUCAAUAUUCAACCGUUUCCAAGCGAAUUUAUCCCGAUUAUCCCGUUCUCAAUCCGCUUUAAAUCCGAUUUGUAUCUUUCGCCUGGUAAAAUUCGACCGAGUCUGUCAUGACUGCGUCUCGAUUUUACCGAAUGUAAUCCGACAGAGAUCAGACAGUGAACCGACAGUGAACCGACGCUGACGGAAGUUAUCCGUUCGAAAAAUAAAGGCAACAGUAGUAUACCGCUGUUCAAACUCAUAAAUCCAUGGACAAAAAACAAAAUCGGGGUAACAAACUAAAACUGACGGAAACGCAUAAAUAUAAGAGGAGAACAACGACAAAACACUACAAUGUAACUAACACACACAGAAACGGACCAAGCAUCAGACAAAAUCCCACGAGAAUAACAAAUAUAACAUCAAAAUCAAAUACAUGAAUUUGGGAUAGACAAGUACCGUGACACGUCUUAUCGCAAUGUCAAUUUACACUUAAAAAUAAGAGAAAACAAACGACGCAACGUUAAAUUGUAACACACACAGAAACGAACUAUAAUAUAACAAUGGCCAUAUUCCUGACUUGGUACAGGAUAUUUUUAAAGGAAAAAAUGGUGGGUUAAACCUGGUUUUGUGGCAUGCCAAACCUCGCACUUUAAUGGCAAUGUUAAAUAUAACAUAGAAAUGACAACAUAAUAUUACAGGACUACAAUACAAAUAAAUAGGAAAACGUAUUAGACAAAGAAACACAUGAUUAAUGAAUAACAAAAAGCAUCAGGUUUAAAAUUUAAUACGCCAAAAACGCGCCUCGUCAUACUCGGCAUACUCGGGAUGAUCAGGUACUGUCGGAACGUAAUCCUAUCACGGUCCGCUCUAUCGCAUUGCAAACGGCUUUGUCUGGUCUAAGUCGUAUUGUAUUCUCUAAUUGUCGGGACUCUGACGUGGGUAUCAUUGACGAAUUUCGUAUUAAUAACGGGACUGUUCCGGAAUGGUUUCGGCAAAAACGGUUUGCAAACGACAAGAUCUGGAUGCAAUCUGGACUCAUUGGGCAGAAAAACAGCAAUGAAAAAUUUCUCCAGAUCAUUCCCGUGUCACAGGACACCGUCAAGUAUACACAGAACAUUGUUAGGAUUUUGAUCCGAUACAGCAGAAUCUGUCACGACAUAGGCACGAUUGUAAUCCGACUAGACAAAAUCGGCUGAGUUUCCCCGAAUGUUACGGGACGCACCUAACUGUCGGGGUGCUUCGCCUAACUAUUCGGAUCCCUCCCGACCAGUAGGAAUUUGUUACGAACUUAAACGACUGCGUUCCGACAAUGAUAUGACAUUCCAGAUAAUUGAGGACAGUAAUCCGACUUUUUUCACUUUUCGAGUCGUAUCGCUGUCUGAUCUCAAACGGGAGCAACAAUCGGCAAUGUGUGAACCCCGCAGUAUGUGGUAAACAGUUUAUUAAAGUCUGGCGUUUUAAAUUAUAAUCCUGGUACAUUUGAUAAUUAUUUAAUGCUAGCUAAACCUCUCACUUGUAUGAUAGUUGUAUAAAAUUCCAUUAUAUUGACAACGAUGUGUAAACAAACAUAAUAGGUAAAAUUUCUGACUUAUAAAGGGGGACGACCGCAGACCGCUGUCUUAAACGUUGUUUGGACUGCCCCAGCCUUGGUGCGUCUCUUGUGGUCGUUUAUUUACUUUAUUUCAAGAUAAUUUAAAGUGGUCGUUCUAAAGUGUGCUUUUUUUUUUGUAGAAAUGUAAUUUUCAUCUGAGUCGAAUGUUUCUCUUAAGCUAUUUCAUUUUCUUUGCACACUUGUUGGCUCUGAAAAAGACGUCCGAGCACGAAGACUAUUCUUUAAAGUACUAGAUCAUGCUUUACAGUACAGUCCUGAGUGGCGAGUAGUGACUAGUGGAAGUAAAGCAGAAGGUUUAGACUUACCAGGAAGCGACUUGGAUAUUAUGUAUAUCAACCAAUUGGACACAGUUUACAAUACCCAAUCUGAAAUACCGAAUGACUUGCCAUAUGGUCUUUAUCUUGAUUCCGAAAUACACCACCGGGCUAUGUAAAUAUCAAGCUUCAUCUUAAAAACAGAAGUGGGAUGCAAACUAACCAUAUGUACGUUUACUCUGACAACAACAUAUCUUUAUCAAAUAGACACUACAAACUAUUGGUACAACACAUGUAUAAUGAUAAAGAUAGGUGCGACAAAAUGGGUUUUUUUCAGAGAUACAUGGUCCUUGCGCUUCCUCUAUUUGUGGAUCGUAUGAUUUCUUAUCUGCUUAUGAAUGUAAUUCCUGGCCGAGAAAUGCGGCAGAGUGGAUAACAAGACUUCGUAGUUAUCAAUGGCCUCCAACAAAACUGAUUGAAGAUAUAGUCCGAGAUAACGUCUUACUUUCACCUAUUGGGAGUAAGUCUAAUAACAAGAAGGAAAAUCCUUUGGAAUGGAGAAUGUCUUUCUCAAUUGCGGAAAAAAUGCUUGUUCAUUCAUUUAACCACACACAAAUUCUGUGUUAUGCAUUACUAAAAUAUACAUUAAGAGAAGUUAUCCACAGAAAAAUAAAGGGAACCAUGUGCUCAUACUUUAUGAAAACAGUAUUAUUCUGGAUGAUCGAAGAAUCUCAGAUUUCUGAAUGGCAACCCGAUAGGUUGUUUGUAUGCUUCCAAGCAUGCAUAAAAAGGCUUAUGUUUUUUGUACAGAACAAUGUCCUUCCAAACUACUUUAUACCACACAAAAAUUUGAUAGAAGGAAACAUUGAUGUACAGAAGAAAACGUUAUUACUUUCAAUCUUGCUAAAAUUUUUAACUAAUGGAAAAUAUUCCUUAAGACAGUUAAAAAGUUUGUCAUCACUUUUUUACCAAAGUGAAGCCUCUUUAUCUUCAGAAUUAUCUACUUCAAACUAUUUUAAUGAGGACUCAACCAUUUAUCCACUUUUACAUUAUAUGCACGGGAUAGGAUUUGGGGGUAGUAAUACUAUAUUUCAGCCAAUUUAUUGUAUAUUGACUCAUAGAAAAUGUAAGCUCUUACAGCACAUAUGCUUUAUUUGGUUUUCAAAACUUUGCGGAUCUUUGUUUAAGCAUUAUUCAUUUUUGAUAUGUGAGGAUAAUAAAAUAACUUUGCAAACUCAAAAAUGUAAUAAAAUGUUUUUUUCAAACUAUAAAAAAUGCCUUUGGUUAAGCGUACUAGGAUCAUUUUCUGAUUCUUAUACCGGUUGGCUCUUACUAGCCGAAUUCUUUUUUCAAUGCAAACAACGCGAGAAAGCUUUACAAAUAAUUCAACUGUGUCAGAUAAAAAGUUCGACCGAUCCCCAAAUAAUAAAUACCAAGUUAAAGCCUUCCCCACGAAGUGAACUGUUACUAAAAAUUGGAAAAAAUUUUGUGCAGCGAUAUAAACAUUCAUGUUCUGAUUUAUUUUAUCUCACUCCAAAGACAAAACCACAUUUAAUGUUUUAUGAUGAAGAUACUCACAGUAUGAGUUCUGACAAGGACAUUUUUAUUGCCAAUCCGCAGAAACGAAUGUAUUUUCUACUUUUUCUAUGCCAUCAUUAUUGUGGGAACAAUAUUGAAAAGUGGAAGGCUCUUCGACUACUGAAUGAAUUUUCUCUACAACGAACAACCUGUGAGGAAUACAUUGAUUCGUUGAAGCAUUUAGCGGAAGCAUGUUUAGUUGCUAAAACAAUACCAGGUUUUGCGUUUACAGACUUUUUUCGUCACCAAUGCAAAGUUCCGUUUAUGUACAUAGAUGGUUAUUUAAAACUUCUUAAGCCUAAUAUACGUGUUAUGAAAAAUAUGGCAAGAGAGAAACUUCCGCCCUUGAUUGAAGAGUUACCACAUCAAUACGAGUGUGAUUCUAUGCCACCUAUUCUAAGAAAAGGUUUACGUCUUGUAUCUGAUUUCUUUAAUAUUUAAAAGAAAACGCUUCUAACGUGACAUCCUGCUUUCGUAUCAUAUCUUUCCCAAAGUUUUAUAUAUCCAUUGCAC